AAGUCGAGGGGAAACGACAUCGAAAGCUUGCUUUUGAUGGACGUCGACCGGCGCACGGGUGAGUAACGCGUAUCCAACCUGCCCACCACUUGGGAAUAACCUUGCGAAAGUAAGACUAAUACCCCAUGGUCUCCACGGAUGGCAUCUGAAAUGGAGUAAAGGUUUCGGCCGGUUGCGGAUGGGGAUGCGUCCGAUUAGCUUGACGGCGGGGUAACAGCUCACCAAGGCAUCGAUGGGUAGGGGUUCUGAGAGGAAGGUCCCCACAUUGGAACUGAGACACGGUCCAAACUCC
This 292-nucleotide ribosomal RNA is filed under the name uncultured Prevotellaceae bacterium. RNAcentral describes it as "partial 16S ribosomal RNA". It matches the Rfam family "Bacterial small subunit ribosomal RNA", at positions 59 to 339 of the family's 1533-position model. The record is from RNAcentral. Lineage: Bacteria; Pseudomonadati; Bacteroidota; Bacteroidia; Bacteroidales; Prevotellaceae.